Molecule: ribosomal RNA, 376 nt
Filed under: uncultured organism
Description: partial 16S ribosomal RNA
Rfam family: Bacterial small subunit ribosomal RNA
Source: RNAcentral
GGAGGGUGCAAGCGUUGUUCGGAAUUACUGGGCGUAAAGAGCGUGUAGGCGGUUUGGCAAGUCAGAUGUGAAAGCCCUGGGCUCAACCCAGGAAGUGCAUUUGAAACUGCCAUACUAGAGUAUGGGAGAGGAGAGUGGAAUUCCCAGUGUAGAGGUGAAAUUCGUAGAUAUUGGGAGGAACACCCGUGGCGAAGGCGACUCUCUGGAUCAAUACUGACGCUGAGACGCGAAAGCGUGGGGGAGCAAACAGGAUUAGAUACCCUGGUAGUCCACGCCGUAAACGAUGAGAACUAGGUGUAGUGGGUAUUGACCCCCCCCCCGCUGUGCCGUAGCUAACGCAUUAAGUUCUCCGCCUGGGAGUACGGUCGCAAGGCUA